Molecule: long non-coding RNA, 562 nt
Organism: Bos taurus (domestic cattle)
Lineage: Eukaryota; Metazoa; Chordata; Mammalia; Artiodactyla; Bovidae
Source: Ensembl
GGCUUUAUUAGGAGCCGGCUGAGCUUCCCUCCUGCUCUGGAGUCGUCUCCCCUUCCCCUUCCCCCUGGGCUCCCACUUUUCUCCCUUGCUUUCAGUCCUGCUCUCUGGAUCUAGGGCCUCCCUGACCACCCUGAACUGUGGGGAACUGGGGCUCCAGAUGGGGUGGAAAAGCCUUCCAGGCAGACGGCAUAGCCAUGGCAAUGGCCUGGAGGGUCUACGGUUCCCAAAAGCUCAAGAGCUCCUGGCUGUGGGGUGAACUUGGGAUCUAAGUGAACUCACAGAGAGUCAGAAAGCUUUGUGAGGUCUCAGUCCAGCUCAAACUCAGGCCCAAAUCCUAUUUAACAGAUGAGUAAAUUGAGUCUCAGGCAGCCAAAGGCAACCAGCAAGUCAGAAGCACAGAGCGGGUUCCACGCGCAACUCUCAGAACCUGAAACGGAGCUAACAGCCAUGGCCGCGAGAGAAAAAUAGGUCUGAUUCAUUCUCUCCGGGCAUAGGAUGCCCGCUCGCAAAACCCAGCACUAGGGAGCAGACCUAGAAACUCAGAUACGACCAAGACGAAGAG